AACGAACGCUGGCGGCAUGCCUAACACAUGCAAGUCGAACGAGACCUUCGGGUCUAGUGGCGCACGGGUGCGUAACGCGUGGGAACCUGCCCUUAGGUUCGGAAUAACUCCCCGAAAGGGGUGCUAAUACCGGAUAAUGUCUUCGGACCAAAGAUUUAUCGCCUUUGGAUGGGCCCGCGUUGGAUUAGCUAGUUGGUAGGGUAAAAGCCUACCAAGGCGACGAUCCAUAGCUGGUCGGAGAGGAUGAUCAGCUACACUGGGAAUGAGACACGGCCCAGACUCCGACGGGGGGGAGCAGUGGGGAAUAUUGGACAAUGGGCGAAAGCGUGAUCAAGCAAUGCCGGGUGAGUGAUGAAGGCGUUAGGGUUGUAAAGCUGUUUUACACGGGAUGAUAAUGACAGUACCGGGAGAAGAAGCUCCGGCUAACUACGUG
Molecule: ribosomal RNA, 433 nt
Filed under: uncultured bacterium
Lineage: Bacteria
Description: partial 16S ribosomal RNA
Rfam family: Bacterial small subunit ribosomal RNA
Source: RNAcentral